UGCAUAGCUGACAUACAAUCCUCUCGUC
Molecule: non-coding RNA, 28 nt
Filed under: Mus musculus (house mouse)
Lineage: Eukaryota; Metazoa; Chordata; Mammalia; Rodentia; Muridae
Source: RNAcentral